This is a non-coding RNA of Rattus norvegicus (Norway rat), 2054 nucleotides long. The record is from RefSeq and is a predicted model, not a curated record. NCBI's taxonomy places the organism in Eukaryota, Metazoa, Chordata, Mammalia, Rodentia, Muridae.
AGGGCGCCCUCCUGUGGUAAACAACGGUACUGCGCAUGGGCAGGCUUUGCACCUGGCAUCAGUUGGCAGGUAAUAUGCUAAUCAGGGAGCAGUACCAUGCUAAUGAGUUGAUUCAUGCUCCGCCAAUCCCUGAAGGACAAUUAGCAUAGCCUCAGCCUGCUGUCUAUAUAAGGCGAGUACUCUUGCUGCUUGUGUUCCCCAUAUCAGCAAUGAAGGUGUCCUGCAAUAAAGGCUGUUGACAAGGAUCCGACGGUGUUGUGUCUUCCUUACUGGAUGAGGUGGGCGCGACAACUGGUGGCCCAUACGGGGACCCGAGAAUAUUCUCGUGGAUCAAGAAGUCUUCAGCUUCAGGACGGCGACGUUGGAAAAUUCCUGGAUAAGGGAAGAUAAGGUUCUCUGGAGGGCCAGUGUUGUACAGGAAUUUCCUCCAAAUUCAAACAUUUUACCUUGGAUGGAAGCUUGUCAAGACUUAGGAAGAUAUAAAGGGAAGCUCUCUGGGAUUCUAGAAGACCGGGGCACAGAAGAUUACCCAGAACGUAUUUGCAGUGUCUUCUGACACAUCUUGGUGGAAUUAUUGCAGAAGCAGCCCUGGAUAAUCAAGAGAAGGUCAGAGCAUAUCACCUGAAUAAUUUUCUUGACAUGCCAUCAUCAGUCAUAAAUGAGUGAUCUCCCAUCCAAAUGACCUCCUUCACUCUUGCCCAGGAAACUCUGGGCCAAAAAAUGGAGCAGACUGAAGGAACCCCACAGGAGGAACAAUCAACUAAGCGGACCCCACAGAGCUCCCAGUGACUAAAACACCAAACAAAAAGUUUGCAUGGAUGGUCCCAUGGAUCCUGCUACAUAUGUAGCAGAGGACUGACUUAUCUGACAUUUGGUGCUGGAGGGGUUUGAUCCUGUGAAAACUUGUUGAGCCAGCAAAGGAGGAUGUUGGAGAAUGGAGUAGAGGGAGGCACCCACUUAGAGGUAAAGGGGAGAGGGGAUUCAGUGGGGGAUUGUGGAAGGGAGAUUAUGAAGGGGGGCACCAUUUGAAAUAUAAAGAAAUCAAGUAAUUAGUGAAAGAUAAAUAAUAAAAUAAAAUCAUUCAAGCUAAAAAGGAAAGAAGUUCUUUGCUCAAUGGAAUUGUCAUGAUCACUGGGGAUGGCUAUGCAUGAUUGUGUAUACAAAGAUGACUUCAACCAACAUGCCUUAUGUCAGAAAAAAAUCAGAUCAAUUAAUGUAUGCAAUAAUAUCAGAAAGCUAUGAAUUUUUAGUUGUAUAAUAGAGUAGUAAACUACCAGAAAUAUGUAGAAACAGUAAUUGUUUGCAGGGACUCAGAAGGAUUAUGUCCUGUGGGGUUACCAGCAUCUCUUGGAGUAACAAGGGAAAGAAUACCAGGAAACACAUGCGGGGGCGGGGUAGAAUGGUUAGUUAAAGAGAUCUCUGCUUAGUACAAGGGCAUCAAUGAGUCUGGCUAGAAGGAAGAAAAAUUUGAAGGUCAAUCUUAAUUAAUAACUGUAAAAAACCCUGUAAUUUAAUGUAUGAGUAUAUAUUGGCAUAGAAAUCAUAUGAAUGUGAUUAUAAUUAUUCAAGGUAUGCAUAGGUUAAUGCCUGUUUAUGUAUUAUAAAGUAUUAUAUUUAACAUAUGGUUGCAUAUGUUUUAUAUAAACAAAGGAAACCCUUUCAUUGAAUUAUUUUUACUGGAUCACAGAUAUUAGAAUGUAGUUGUCCAAAUUCAAUUCCAGAAAAAAAAAAAUCAUGUAUAAUGGUAAAAUAUACUUUCUAUAAAGGUAUUCUUUUCAUUAUUAAAAAUAGCUGUAAUUAUAUUUAAUUAUUAUUUUCUUUUAUCAAAGACAGUUUGUAGUUUGAACUCCAUUUUUAGAGUGUACCCAGCUUAGAGCCAUUGCAGCAGCAUAUAAUUUUUGUAACAACACUUAGAGCAGAUUCGGUGAAUAGUAUUCUCCUGAAGCUCCUCUUUUUCCCAUUAAAUGACUGAUGUUAUGAGCUGGUAACUGUUAAAUAUGGUUUAUUUCCCACAGCCUCUUGAGUUUAAUAAAAUGAAGUACUUUCACUUCAAA